Long non-coding RNA from Cyanistes caeruleus (blue tit), 814 nucleotides. RefSeq lists it as uncharacterized. NCBI's taxonomy places the organism in Eukaryota, Metazoa, Chordata, Aves, Passeriformes, Paridae. The record is from RefSeq and is a predicted model, not a curated record.
ACCGGCACCGCCCACGCCCCUCGGCACCAUGGAAACGCCUGGAACCGCCCCUGCCCGGAGCUGAUUGGCUCAGCCCAGAAGCCGCGCCCGCGGUCCCGCCUCGGCUGGCCACGCCUGCCUGCCGCUGCUGGGGGGCGGGGCCCAAGCUGAUGUCACGUGGUGUCCGAUCCAUACCCGGAAGUGCACCGGAAACAGAAAGCUGCGCCCCAGUGCCGGGGCCCGCACUCAGCACAGUUCCAGCUUCACCACAGCUACAGCCAAGGCAAUCCCAGCCCCAAGGAACCACACAGCACAAAGAAACCUUCAAGGCACGAUCUCCAUAGAGACAACCAAAGUCUUCACCUAACACCAGCUCCAGCUCCACCACCACUCCUAUCAAACGCCAUCCCAGGACAUGUUAGCUUCAGACAACAAACCCUGAUAAAAAAUGCAAACAUGUCUACUUCAACCCACAGUAUUAUCUUCAUUCAUUUAAAUGAACAGGAUUAGGAAAAUCAGCACAUGGAGAACUGAAAGGCAGUUGUUUAUGAAACCUUCUAUCCACAUGGAUCUACAUUGACUAUCUGCUUCUUGUGGUGAUGAAGAUUGCUCCAAGGAUGCAGUUACAGCUGUUUGAUCCCACUAGAGACAUAAAGACCCUACAGCAAGAAGACGAAUGGGUCAUCAAACCUGGGCAGUAUUUUAGAGGGUUAAAGAGAAAAUAGUCUUUUCAAGAGAAUGAGUACCUCCUUAAAAGGAUAUGUAGGAGAUUUGUGUCAGAAACCAUAUUGGACAGUAAUUAUCCUAAUAUUAGUAAAAUUUCCAUUAACUUUCA